CAGAACGUCGUGAGACAGUUCGGUCCCUAUCCGUCGUGGGCGUAGGAAAUUUGAGAGGAGCUGUCCUUAGUACGAGAGGACCGGGAUGGACAUACCUCUGGUGUACCAGUUGUCGUGCCAACGGCAUCGCUGGGUAGCUAUGUAUGGACGGGAUAAGUGCUGAAAGCAUCUAAGCAUGAAGCCCCCCUCGAGAUGAGAUUUCCCAACUUCGGUUAUAAGAUCCCUCAAAGAUGAUGAGGUGAAUAGGUUCGAGGUGGAAGCGUAGCGAUACGUGGAGCUGACGAAUACUAAUCGAUCGAAGACUUAAUCAAAA
RNAcentral lists this ribosomal RNA (313 nucleotides) under Staphylococcus delphini. RNAcentral's name for it is "bacterial LSU rRNA". It matches the Rfam family "Bacterial large subunit ribosomal RNA", at positions 2612 to 2925 of the family's 2925-position model. Lineage: Bacteria; Bacillati; Bacillota; Bacilli; Caryophanales; Staphylococcaceae. The record is from RNAcentral.